CUAGACAGGUGGGCCUCGAUCCCACAAUAAUUUAAUUAACAGCUAAACACCCUAAACCAGCGGGCUUCCAUCUA
Molecule: transfer RNA, 74 nt
Filed under: Liolaemus andinus
Lineage: Eukaryota; Metazoa; Chordata; Lepidosauria; Squamata
Description: tRNA-Asn
Source: RNAcentral